RNAcentral lists this ribosomal RNA (644 nucleotides) under uncultured bacterium. RNAcentral's name for it is "bacterial SSU rRNA". It matches the Rfam family "Bacterial small subunit ribosomal RNA", at positions 202 to 842 of the family's 1533-position model. The record is from RNAcentral.
UAAAGGAAGCGAUUCCGGCUACGGAUGGUCAUGCGUCGCAUUAGCUAGUUGGCGGGGUAACGGCCCACCAAGGCGACGAUGCGUAGGGGUUCUGAGAGGAAGGUCCCCCACACUGGUACUGAGACACGGACCAGACUCCUACGGGAGGCAGCAGUGAGGAAUAUUGGUCAAUGGCCGCAGGGCUGAACCAGCCAAGUCGCGUGAGGGAUGACGGUCCUAUGGAUUGUAAACCUCUUUUGUCAGGGAGCAAAGGGCGCCACGUGUGGCGCUUUGCGAGUACCUGAAGAAAAAGCAUCGGCUAACUCCGUGCCAGCAGCCGCGGUAAUACGGAGGAUGCGAGCGUUAUCCGGAUUUAUUGGGUUUAAAGGGUGCGCAGGCGGAAUGUCAAGUCAGCGGUAAAAUUUCGGGGCUCAACCCCGUCGUGCCGUUGAAACUGGCGUUCUUGAGUGAGCGAGAAGUAUGCGGAAUGCGUGGUGUAGCGGUGAAAUGCAUAGAUAUCACGCAGAACUCCGAUUGCGAAGGCAGCAUACCGGCGCCCAACUGACGCUCAUGCACGAAAGCGUGGGUAUCGAACAGGAUUAGAUACCCUGGUAGUCCACGCAGUAAACGAUGAAUACUAACUGUCCGGGCAGAAUGAUGCCUGG